Long non-coding RNA from Dermacentor andersoni, 1254 nucleotides. RefSeq lists it as uncharacterized. NCBI's taxonomy places the organism in Eukaryota, Metazoa, Arthropoda, Arachnida, Ixodida, Ixodidae. The record is from RefSeq and is a predicted model, not a curated record.
AAGCAAACCAAAUAAGCGCGAGCGAGAACUGACGCGAGCAGACGAGUACGAAACGAGCAAUCUGGCCGAGACCAGAUACGAGUACACAUCGAGCGGCCGGGUGGGUUCGCAUGGUUCGCACGACACUCGUUUCCCGCGCCCGCGUCACUGAAGGGGCCACUCUCAUUGGUCUCGGCCGUUCGCGGCUCGCGUCUUUCAUCUCCCACUCCACGUUCGCUCUUUCAUCUUUUGCUAUGCUGGUUCGCUCGGUUAGGCCGCCGACGCUCGCCGCAGGAACGGGCGCCUAAAAGCUGCGCUCUAAAAUGUGGGUCAUUCAUGUGCAUAUGUGCCGCUUUUCAGCGAACCUCUUUGAUGCUAACUUUCCUAUGUGCCACUCGUCAAUGAACUUCUUUGACGUCAACUUGGGUCACUAUGUAUGUGCCUAUGGUAUGUGCCAUGGGGCAUAGCAGACUUCACUGCGGAGCGGCCGCAAGGUGCAGCACACCCAGAGGCAAGCGCAAGAGAGGAGCCCGGCGUCAGCACAAGUCUCAGACAUGACGCGUUCGGCUAUUCGCAUACUUGGAUAGUCAUCGUAGAUGAAUCUCCUCCUCUGUGUUCUCCUGACCGAUGGAAGUCACUCCCUGCUCAGCUCGGCGAGCAAGACCUCGAACUUUGUGGUGUGCUACCUCAUUGGGGUAGAUUGCAGGAAUGUCUGCCUGAAUUUUUUUCCCUCGGCGUUUGUGGAAUUUUGCAGUGGAAAUUUACUUCUCCUGGACAGUGUCAAUUGUCGGCAAUUUUACUAUUCUUAUUAUUAUUAUUACUAUUAGUUAUUAAGAAUGUUGGAGGGAAACGCACAAAAUUGUGUAAUGUUGGCGAUUAGUUUCUCCAUCACCGCAGCACUGCAGCUCAUUGCUUUGGCUAUGAUGUGGUAUUUUGCCUCAGGGAUGGGCUUGAGUUCCCCACGCACCCUCUUCACCGGGCCGAAGUUCCUGUGAUUUUUUUUUAAUACUUAAAGAACCUAUAACAAAGGUACAAGAUUUACAGCUGUGCACAAGGUGAAGACAACUUCACAGGGGCCACUAAACAGCUAUAAUUGAGCUCUAGAGUUGCUUCGAACAGUGGGGAAAAGGUUGGACAAGUGUAUUGACUCUGUUUUGAAAGCAACUCGUUUUCUUUUUUUCGUGGGGGGGUCUCGACCCAUGAAUUGAGGACCGGAUGGGUGAAAAGCCUGUCACCAAAACUGUUCCAGGAAGAUAAAGUGUUUCUGCUUGCAGA